AUGCAGUCGAGCGGUAACAGGGGAAGCUUGCUUCCCGCUGACGAGCGGCGGACGGGUGAGUAAUGCUUAGGAAUCUGCCCAGUAGUGGGGGAUAGCCCGGGGAAACCCGGAUUAAUACCGCAUACGUCCUACGGGAGAAAGCAGGGGAUCUUCGGACCUUGCGCUAUUGGAUGAGCCUAAGUCGGAUUAGCUAGUUGGUGGGGUAAAGGCCUACCAAGGCGACGAUCCGUAGCUGGUCUGAGAGGAUGAUCAGCCACAUCGGGACUGAGACACGGCCCGAACUCCUACGGGAGGCAGCAGUGGGGAAUAUUGGACAAUGGGGGCAACCCUGAUCCAGCCAUGCCGCGUGUGUGAAGAAGGCUUUCGGGUUGUAAAGCACUUUCAGUAGGGAGGAAAACCUUAUGGUUAAUACCCAUGAGGCUUGACGUUACCUACAGAAGAAGCACCGGCUAACUCCGUGCCAGCAGCCGCGGUAAUACGGAGGGUGCAAGCGUUAAUCGGAAUUACUGGGCGUAAAGCGCGCGUAGGUGGUUUGGUAAGCGAGAUGUGAAAGCCCCGGGCUUAACCUGGGAACGGCAUUUCAAACUGUCAGACUAGAGUGUGGUAGAGGGUAGUGGAAUUUCCUGUGUAGCGGUGAAAUGCGUAGAUAUAGGAAGGAACACCAGUGGCGAAGGCGGCUACCUGGACCAACACUGACACUGAGGUGCGAAAGCGUGGGGAGCAAACAGGAUUAGAUACCCUGGUAGUCCACGCCGUAAACGAUGUCAACUAGCCGUUGGGACUCUUGAAGUCUUAGUGGCGCAGCUAACGCACUAAGUUGACCGCCUGGGGAGUACGGCCGCAAGGUUAAAACUCAAAUGAAUUGACGGGGGACCGCACAAGCGGUGGAGCAUGUGGUUUAAUUUGACGCAACGCGAAGAACCUUACCUGGCCUUGACAUCCAGAGAACUUUCCAGAGAUGGAUUGGUGCCUUCGGGAACUCUGAGACAGGUGCUGCAUGGCCGUCGUCAGCUCGUGUCGUGAGAUGUUGGGUUAAGUCCCGUAACGAGCGCAACCCCUAUCCCUGGUUGCUAGCAGGUAAUGCUGAGAACUCCAGGGAGACUGCCGGUGACAAACCGGAGGAAGGUGGGGAUGACGUCAGGUCAUCAUGGCCCUUACGGCCAGGGCUACACACGUGCUACAAUGGCGCGUACAGAGGGCUGCCAACUCGCGAGAGUGAGCCAAUCCCUUAAAACGCGUCGUAGUCCGGAUCGGAGUUUGCAACUCGACUCCGUGAAGUCGGAAUCGCUAGUAAUCGCGAAUCAGAAUGUCGCGGUGAAUACGUUCCCGGGCCUUGUACACACCGCCCGUCACACCA
Molecule: ribosomal RNA, 1357 nt
Filed under: Marinobacter sp.
Lineage: Bacteria; Pseudomonadati; Pseudomonadota; Gammaproteobacteria; Pseudomonadales; Marinobacteraceae
Description: bacterial SSU rRNA
Rfam family: Bacterial small subunit ribosomal RNA
Source: RNAcentral